UUAUGGUUUCUUUACCUGGAUGAGGCUCUGGUCUCUAUCCGUGCCUUAUUUUAGAAUAAGGGGAAGGGCUGUGUGGAGGAGAAGAUCCUUUGGCUACGAGGCUACCGUGGUUCCUGAGAGCUACUACCCAGCAGCUCGGAGGUUAAAGGGGGAAUGAGAGAAAGUAGCAAUACUGGAAGAGGAAAGGGAAAUAAUGAUCUAAUAUGAUCCUUGAAAGCUCCCUGCAGCCAACUACAGAGAGGAUUUGGAGACUUACAGUGAAAUGACUGACACUAGGUCAACCGCCAAGAGCUGUGAGUGGGCUAGGGCGUGAAGGAGGUGAUGUGGAGACAAUGGAGCUGCUAACCCUGUGGUCAACGGUGGAUCCAACUGAUUCACUCACCUCGGCCCACUUCUGCUUUUGGGAUCAUGGUGUACCAGGAAGCUGAGCCAGGAUAUCUAUAUAUCCUGCAGAGAGAUCAGACUUCCUUGGGACCAGACUGGAUCUGGAGCGUGGACCGGAGUCUUGCAUCCCCCCAACACCUGGAUUUAGAGGUAGCCUACUGAAGAUCAAAAUCAUACCUUCCUUUGCUAAAUGUGGAGAGGAGAAAUGGAUUAACUAGGGAGCGCUUUGUACAGUGCUCUAGACACAGUAAACCCCCAGUAAAGACCAUUGAUGACGAUAAUGCCGAGACCUUCAUGAGGAUCAUCAUGCAGAUAUCUUCACUGAUGAGACGAUGAUGGGGCAAGCGUCCACCAACUCUGUUCUACCGUUCUCUCCCAAGCGCCUAGUAAAGUGAUCAG
Ornithorhynchus anatinus (platypus) is the source of this 783-nucleotide long non-coding RNA. RefSeq lists it as uncharacterized. NCBI's taxonomy places the organism in Eukaryota, Metazoa, Chordata, Mammalia, Monotremata, Ornithorhynchidae. The record is from RefSeq and is a predicted model, not a curated record. The transcript is spliced from 4 exons.